GACGAACGCUGGCGGCGUGCUUAACACAUGCAAGUCGAACGGAGCGAAUGAAAGCUUGCUUUUAUGAGCUUAGUGGCAAACGGGUGAGUAACACGUAGACAACCUGCCGACAGGAUGGGGACAACAUUCCGAAAGGAAUGCUAAUACCGAAUGAAGCGGAUGGGAGGCAUCUCCUAUCCGUGAAAGAUGGCCUCUUUUAAUGCUAUCACCUGUCGAUGGGUCUGCGUCUGAUUAGCUAGUUGGUGAGGUAACGGCUCACCAAGGCGACGAUCAGUAGCCGGUCUGAGAGGAUGAACGGCCACAUUGGGACUGAGACACGGCCCAGACUCCUACGGGAGGCAGCAGUGGGGAAUCUUCCGCAAUGGGCGCAAGCCUGACGGAGCAACGCCGCGUGAGUGAAGAAGGUCUUCGGAUCGUAAAGCUCUGUUGACGGGGACGAACGUGCAAAGGGUGAAUAAUCCUUUGCAAUGACG
Molecule: ribosomal RNA, 473 nt
Filed under: Selenomonas sp. oral taxon F33
Lineage: Bacteria; Bacillati; Bacillota; Negativicutes; Selenomonadales; Selenomonadaceae
Description: bacterial SSU rRNA
Rfam family: Bacterial small subunit ribosomal RNA
Source: RNAcentral